GGAUCAAGGGAGGUAAGAAAAAUAUUAUGAAUUUCAUGGUGAGAAAAGCCCUUGGCGGCUGAGGAUGAUUGCCCUAGUCUUUAGAGAAUAGAGGUCUAUGGAGUGUAAUGAAGAAAGCUUUACAAAUAUAGAAUUUACCGGGGGCAUUUGAUCAAUAUCAGGAUCAUUCUCAUGAUCAAUGAGCCAAUGAAUUGCAGCUUCAGAGCUGACGUUGCCUGAAGAACAAAGAAAGUAGUUUCUGAGAAUGAAAAACAGUAGAUAAUUCAACUAUUCUAACUCUAAAUUGUAGUGAAAGAUGGAAUAGGCGAUGUUGAAGAUGAGGGGAUCUCAGUCCUCUUUCAUCAAUCUUUAGAUGUACAUUUGUAAUGCAAAAUUAAAUGAAGAGUUGUAUUUCAUUCUCCAA
Cucumis melo (muskmelon) is the source of this 403-nucleotide long non-coding RNA. RefSeq lists it as uncharacterized. Lineage: Eukaryota; Viridiplantae; Streptophyta; Magnoliopsida; Cucurbitales; Cucurbitaceae. The record is from RefSeq and is a predicted model, not a curated record. The transcript is spliced from 2 exons.